Molecule: ribosomal RNA, 253 nt
Filed under: uncultured bacterium
Lineage: Bacteria
Description: partial 16S ribosomal RNA
Rfam family: Bacterial small subunit ribosomal RNA
Source: RNAcentral
UACGAAGGGGGCUAGCGUUGUUCGGAAUUACUGGGCGUAAAGCGCGCGCAGGCGGUCUUCCAAGUCAGUGGUGAAAGCCCGGAGCUCAACUCCGGAACUGCCAUUGAAACUGUAAGACUUGAGGAUGAGAGAGGUGAGUGGAAUUCCCGGUGUAGCGGUGAAAUGCGCAGAUAUCGGGAAGAACACCCGUGGCGAAGGCGGCUCUCUGGAACGCAACUGACGCUGAGACGCGAAAGCGUGGGGAGCAAACAGG